RNAcentral lists this ribosomal RNA (1439 nucleotides) under uncultured organism. RNAcentral describes it as "16S ribosomal RNA". It matches the Rfam family "Bacterial small subunit ribosomal RNA". The record is from RNAcentral.
CAGGCUUAACACAUGCAGGUCGAGGGGCAGCAUGGUCUUAGCUUGCUAAGACUGAUGGCGACCGGCGCACGGGUGAGUAACACGUAUCCAACCUGCCGUCUACUCUUGGACAGCCUUCUGAAAGGAAGAUUAAUACAAGAUGGCAUCAUGAGUCCGCAUGUUCACAUGAUUAAAGGUAUUCCGGUAGACGAUGGGGAUGCGUUCCAUUAGAUAGUAGGCGGGGUAACGGCCCACCUAGUCUUCGAUGGAUAGGGGUUCUGAGAGGAAGGUCCCCCACAUUGGAACUGAGACACGGUCCAAACUCCUACGGGAGGCAGCAGUGAGGAAUAUUGGUCAAUGGGCGAGAGCCUGAACCAGCCAAGUAGCGUGAAGGAUGACUGCCCUAUGGGUUGUAAACUUCUUUUAUAAAGGAAUAAAGUCGGGUAUGCAUACCCGUUUGCAUGUACUUUAUGAAUAAGGAUCGGCUAACUCCGUGCCAGCAGCCGCGGUAAUACGGAGGAUCCGAGCGUUAUCCGGAUUUAUUGGGUUUAAAGGGAGCGUAGAUGGAUGUUUAAGUCAGUUGUGAAAGUUUGCGGCUCAACCGUAAAAUUGCAGUUGAUACUGGAUAUCUUGAGUGCAGUUGAGGCAGGCGGAAUUCGUGGUGUAGCGGUGAAAUGCUUAGAUAUCACGAAGAACUCCGAUUGCGAAGGCAGCCUGCUAAGCUGCAACUGACAUUGAGGCUCGAAAGUGUGGGUAUCAAACAGGAUUAGAUACCCUGGUAGUCCACACGGUAAACGAUGAAUACUCGCUGUUUGCGAUAUACGGCAAGCGGCCAAGCGAAAGCGUUAAGUAUUCCACCUGGGGAGUACGCCGGCAACGGUGAAACUCAAAGGAAUUGACGGGGGCCCGCACAAGCGGAGGAACAUGUGGUUUAAUUCGAUGAUACGCGAGGAACCUUACCCGGGCUUAAAUUGCAGAUGAAUUACGGUGAAAGCCGUAAGCCGCAAGGCAUCUGUGAAGGUGCUGCAUGGUUGUCGUCAGCUCGCGCCGUGAGGUGUCGGCUUAAGUGCCAUAACGAGCGCAACCCUUGUUGUCAGUUACUAACAGGUUCCGCUGAGGACUCUGACAAGACUGCCAUCGUAAGAUGUGAGGAAGGUGGGGAUGACGUCAAAUCAGCACGGCCCUUACGUCCGGGGCUACACACGUGUUACAAUGGGGGGUACAGAGGGCCGCUACCACGCGAGUGGAUGCCGAUCCCCAAAACCUCUCUCAGUUCGGACUGGAGUCUGCAACCCGACUCCACGAAGCUGGAUUCGCUAGUAAUCGCGCAUCAGCCACGGCGCGGUGAAUACGUUCCCGGGCCUUGUACACACCGCCCGUCAAGCCAUGGGAGCCGGGGGUACCUGAAGUGCGUAACCGCGAGGAGCGCCCUAGGGUAAAACUGGUGACUGGGGCUAAGU